AUAAUGGGUCAGCGACUUAUAUUCUGUAGCAAGGUUAACCGAAUAGGGGAGCCGAAGGGAAACCGAGUCUUAACUGGGCGUUAAGUUGCAGGGUAUAGACCCGAAACCCGGUGAUCUAGCCAUGGGCAGGUUGAAGGUUGGGUAACACUAACUGGAGGACCGAACCGACUAAUGUUGAAAAAUUAGCGGAUGACUUGUGGCUGGGGGUGAAAGGCCAAUCAAACCGGGAGAUAGCUGGUUCUCCCCGAAAGCUAUUUAGGUAGCGCCUCGUGAAUUCAUCUCCGGGGGUAGAGCACUGUUUCGGCAAGGGGGUCAUCCCGACUUACCAACCCGAUGCAAACUGCGAAUACCGGAGAAUGUUAUCACGGGAGACACACGGCGGGUGCUAACGUCCGUCGUGAAGAGGGAAACAACCCAGACCGCCAGCUAAGGUCCCAAAGUCAUGGUUAAGUGGGAAACGAUGUGGGAAGGCCCAGACAGCCAGGAUGUUGGCUUAGAAGCAGCCAUCAUUUAAAGAAAGCGUAAUAGCUCACUGGUCGAGUCGGCCUGCGCGGAAGAUGUAACGGGGCUAAACCAUGCACCGAAGCUGCGGCAGCGACGCUGAUGCGUUGUUGGGUAGGGGAGCGUUCUGUAAGCCUGCGAAGGUGUGCUGUGAGGCAUGCUGGAGGUAUCAGAAGUGCGAAUGCUGACAUAAGUAACGAUAAAGCGGGUGAAAAGCCCGCUCGCCGGAAGACCAAGGGUUCCUGUCCAACGUUAAUCGGGGCAGGGUGAGUCGACCCCUAAGGCGAGGCCGAAAGGCGUAGUCGAUGGGAAACAGGUUAAUAUUCCUGUACUUGGUGUUACUGCGAAGGGGGGACGGAGAAGGCUAUGUUGGCCGGGCGACGGUUGUCCCGGUUUAAGCGUGUAGGCUGGUUUUCCAGGCAAAUCCGGAAAAUCAAGGCUGAGGCGUGAUGACGAGGCACUACGGUGCUGAAGCAACAAAUGCCCUGCUUCCAGGAAAAGCCUCUAAGCAUCAGGUAACAUCAAAUCGUACCCCAAACCGACACAGGUGGUCAGGUAGAGAAUACCAAGGCGCUUGAG
RNAcentral lists this ribosomal RNA (1080 nucleotides) under Escherichia coli. RNAcentral's name for it is "partial 23S ribosomal RNA". It matches the Rfam family "Bacterial large subunit ribosomal RNA", at positions 612 to 1694 of the family's 2925-position model. Lineage: Bacteria; Pseudomonadati; Pseudomonadota; Gammaproteobacteria; Enterobacterales; Enterobacteriaceae. The record is from RNAcentral.